This 253-nucleotide ribosomal RNA is filed under the name uncultured bacterium. RNAcentral describes it as "partial 16S ribosomal RNA". It matches the Rfam family "Bacterial small subunit ribosomal RNA", at positions 524 to 776 of the family's 1533-position model. The record is from RNAcentral.
UACGAAGGGGGCGAGCGUUGUUCGGAUUUACUGGGCGUAAAGGGCGCGCAGGCGGCUCUUUAAGUCAGGGGUGAAAUCCCGAGGCUCAACCUCGGAACUGCCUUUGAUACUGGGGAUCUCGAGUCCGGGAGAGGUGAGUGGAACUGCGAGUGUAGAGGUGAAAUUCGUAGAUAUUCGCAAGAACACCAGUGGCGAAGGCGGCUCACUGGCCCGGAACUGACGCUGAGGUGCGAAAGCGUGGGGAGCAAACAGG